AGCAGCCGCGGUAAUUCCAGCUCCAAUAGCGUAUAUUAAAGUUGUUGCAGUUAAAAAGCUCGUAGUUGAAUUUCGGGAUCAGUAGGUUGGUCAUGCCUUCGGUAUGUACUGGUCUCACUGAUUCCUCCCUCUUGAAGAACCGUAAUGUCAUUAAUUUGAUGUUGCGGGGAAACAGGACUGUUACUUUGAAAAAUUAGAGUGUUUAAAGCAGGCUCACGCUUGAAUACAUUAGCAUGGAAUAAUGAAAUAGGACGUUCGAUCCUAUUUUGUUGGUUUCUAGGAUUGACGUAAUGAUUAAUAGGGAUAGUUGGGGGCAUUAGUAUUCAAUUGUCAGAGGUGAAAUUCUUGGAUUUAUUGAAGACUAACUACUGCGAAAGCAUUUGCCAAGGAUGUUUUCAUUAAUCAAGAACGAAAGUUAGGGGAUCGAAGACGAUCAGAUACCGUCGUAGUCUUAACCAUAAACUAUGCCGACUAGGGAUCGGAUGAUGUUAAUUUUAAUGACUCAUUCGGCUACCG
This 516-nucleotide ribosomal RNA is filed under the name uncultured Glomeromycotina. RNAcentral's name for it is "SSU rRNA". It matches the Rfam family "Eukaryotic small subunit ribosomal RNA", at positions 569 to 1089 of the family's 1831-position model. The record is from RNAcentral. Lineage: Eukaryota; Fungi; Glomeromycota.